GAUGGCUUCGGCUAUCACUUUUGGAUGGUCCCGCGGCGUAUUAGCUAGAUGGUGGGGUAACGGCUCACCAUGGCAAUGAUACGUAGCCGACCUGAGAGGGUAAUCGGCCACAUUGGGACUGAGACACGGCCCAAACUCCUACGGGAGGCAGCAGUAGGGAAUCUUCCACAAUGGACGAAAGUCUGAUGGAGCAACGCCGCGUGAGUGAAGAAGGGUUUCGGCUCGUAAAACUCUGUUGUUAAAGAAGAACAUAUCUGAGAGUAACUGUUCAGGUAUUGACGGUAUUUAACCAGAAAGCCACGGCUAACUACGUGCCAGCAGCCGCGGUAAUACGUAGGUGGCAAGCGUUGUCCGGAUUUAUUGGGCGUAAAGCGAGCGCAGGCGGUUUUUUAAGUCUGAUGUGAAAGCCUUCGGCUCAACCGAAGAAGUGCAUCGGAAACUGGGAAACUUGAGUGCAGAAGAGGACAGUGGAACUCCAUGUGUAGCGGUGAAAUGCGUAGAUAUAUGGAAGAACACCAGUGGCGAAGGCGGCUGUCUGGUCUGUAACUGACGCUGAGGCUCGAAAGUAUGGGUAGCAAACAGGAUUAGAUACCCUGGUAGUCCAUACCGUAAACGAUGAAUGCUAAGUGUUGGAGGGUUUCCGCCCUUCAGUGCUGCAGCUAACGCAUUAAGCAUUCCGCCUGGGGAGUACGGCCGCAAGGCUGAAACUCAAAGGAAUUGACGGGGGCCCGCACAAGCGGUGGAGCAUGUGGUUUAAUUCGAAGCUACGCGAAGAACCUUUACCAGGUCUUGACAUACUAUGCAAAUCCUAGAAAAUUAGACGUU
RNAcentral lists this ribosomal RNA (825 nucleotides) under Lactiplantibacillus plantarum. RNAcentral describes it as "bacterial SSU rRNA". It matches the Rfam family "Bacterial small subunit ribosomal RNA", at positions 202 to 1015 of the family's 1533-position model. Lineage: Bacteria; Bacillati; Bacillota; Bacilli; Lactobacillales; Lactobacillaceae. The record is from RNAcentral.